Zophobas morio is the source of this 1233-nucleotide RNA transcript. RefSeq lists it as uncharacterized. The record is from RefSeq and is a predicted model, not a curated record. The transcript has 3 exons. NCBI's taxonomy places the organism in Eukaryota, Metazoa, Arthropoda, Insecta, Coleoptera, Tenebrionidae.
UUUAAAUUCGUUUUCGGUAGCACUAUUCUGGAUAAUGAUAUGGAAAAGAAAAAAUUAAACCAGAAAAAACGGAGUAAAUCGAAGAAACCCGGCUUUCUGAAAAACUUUUUUAUGUGUAUUUUGAAAAAUGACGAAGAAGAAGAUACAAAUCCACGUAAUCAGACAAAUGUGAGUUUCAAACCGUCUAAAAUAAUGCCUGCUAAACGUGAAGUAUCCGUUACUUUCUCAACCACUUCUUCAUAUUACCUUAUGCAACCGGUGUUAGCUAAAUUAGAGAAUAUGUCACCGAACAACGCACUAUUGUCUCAAGCUUAUUCAGAAAAAUUCGAAAGUAGUUCAAUCGAACAGGAAGAAACUCUUCCGCCGAAACCUGAGGAGCUGCGUAAAGAAGUUGAGAAAGAACAGAAAGACCAGUUAGUUAGAUCAAUACUCAGUAAGUACUUACAAAUGAAAAGAGAAGACAUGUUGAAUAAAAUACCAGAAACUGAAAACGAAAAUCAAGAAAGUAUGAACUCGCCUCAAAGUCAAAAAGGCGAUUUUCUAAACGUCGAUUGCUUUGCAAGCGAUAGCUCAGAUACAAUAUUGUUGGAGAAUGCCGUAAGUAACCAGGAGUUAGAUAUAAAGAACCAAAGACCAAAAACAGAAUUUCCGACAAAGAGCAGAAGCGCUCCAACGAAUAGUACAGCUCACGAUAGCCUCGCCGACAUUUGCUUUAAAAUGAGUCGUUACAAACAGCAAGAAAAUAAGUCUGACAGUUACGUAACUUGUUGCAGUGAAGAAACUACCAAAGACAAUGCCACAACGUCGAAAAAGAAAUUGGAACUUAUAUUUAACCCAUCAUCCGAAGAAAACUCGUCGUGUCUAGAAGACAAUUCUUCGUUUUCGUUACAGUACGAAAUAAGCUGCGAAAGAACGCCUGUGGCAACAGUUGUAGAUGUGAGUCAUUUGGUGGAUUAUUCUUGCAGUUGCAACAUAACGGAAACGAAAAAACUUAUAAUUUCGUGACGAAGCAUUCAAGAGGAACGAAGAUUGCCUCUCCAGAGUUAUACUUAAAUCCACCUCCAUACGUGAAAGGUGAAAUCGAUGGACUAAAUGGAUCUAGUUCAUCACUUAAAUGGAAAUUAAUUAUUUCGCAUCAUGGACGAGGAGAUUUUCGUUAAUUAACAAGCAUCAGACGAAAAGUGAUCUCUUUAUUUGAGCUUAAUAAAUUCACUCUUCUUGACAUGAUUAAUA